ACAUGUCCUGCUACGCAUACAAAUUUGGCCUCUGCAGCGCGUGUAUCAGCGUCUAGUUUCCUCAAGGAAAACAGUUUCUUCUUGCGGGUUUUGUCUGAGCCUGUUUGCCGAGACCAAUACAGAAAACAAAACAGUGGAGAGAGACAGUGGGGGAGGAAUUUAUCUCUAUUUUGACUUGAUUCUAAAUGGACCCAACAGCUGAAGAGCAAAUAGAUUACGGUGAUGAAGAAUAUGGAGUUAGUCAGAAGGUGCAGUAUCAGGGGGGUGGAGCAAUAUCAGCACUUGCAGAUGAAGAAAUGAUGGGGGAAGAUGAUGAGUAUGAUGACCUAUACAAUGAUGUUAAUGUUGGAGAGGGCUUCCUCCAGAUGCACCGAUCUGAGGCUCCACCUCCUGCUAAUUUCGGUAAUGGAGGACUCCAAGCUCAGAAAAUUGAUGUUCCUGAUCCAAAGGUUCAAGCUGGGAGCACACAUGGGUUAAGUAAUUCUGAGGUUGCAGUUGAAAGGCAGUAUUCUAACACUGGGACGGGUUUUCCUGAGCAGGGAGUCCAACUGCCCAUUAAAGGACAGGGAUUGGGAUCUACUGGCUACCCAGAUGGGUCUUCUAUUUUACAAAAAGGGCAGGUCUUGGAGAUCGCUCGUGAUGCUCAAGUCCGAAAUGUUGGGUUUCAGGGUUCGACUUCUGUGCCACCAAACAUCGGGGUUGAUAUUGCCGGUAUGCCUGGGAGAAUGUCCAAUAACCUCGCACCUGCUCUGAAUCCUCUGUCUGGAGCUCCACAAGGUGUUCCACAGAUUCCGACUAAUCAAACUGGCAUGAAUGCAAAUGUGAAUCGUCUUAAUGAAAUUGAGAUCAGACCAUCUGUAGAUAAUGGAUUGACCAUGCUCUAUGUUGGUGAAUUGCAUUGGUGGACAACUGAUGCAGAGCUAGAGAGUGUUUUAUCUCAGUAUGGAAGAGUCAAGGAGAUUAAGUUCUUUGAUGAGAGAGCUAGUGGUAAAUCCAAGGGAUACUGUCAAGUUGAGUUCUAUGACCCUAAUGCUGCAGCUGCUUGCAAAGAAGGAAUGAAUGGCCAUCUUUUGAAUGGGCGAGCUUGUGUUGUUGCCUUUGCUUCUCCACAAACACUGAAGCAGAUGGGAGCCUCUUAUAGCAAAAACCAACCCGAGUCUCAGUCUCAGCCUCAGGGAAGGAGGCCCACGAAUGAUGGUAUGGGGAGAGGUAAUAAUAUGAAUUAUCAAGGUGGAGAUGGAGGGAGGAACUAUGGAAGGGGCUCUUGGGGACGGGGUGGGCAAGGAAUGCUAAAUAGAGGUCCAGGGGGUGGUGGUCAUAUGCGGGGAAGAGGAGGUAUGGGUGCAAAGAACAUGGGUGGGGCUGGAAUAGGAGGUCCAGCUGGUGGUGGAGGCUAUGGACAAGGCCUUGCAGGUCCUGCAUUUGGAGUUCCUGGUGGUGGUAUGAUGCAUCCUCAAGGUAUGAUGGGAGCUGGAUUUGAUCCGACUUAUAUGGGUCGUGGUGGUUAUGGAGGGUUUCCAGGCCCUGGUUUUCCUGGCAUGCUUCCUUCAUUUCCUGCUGUUAAUGCAAUGGGACUGGCAGGGGUGGCUCCUCAUGUAAACCCAGCCUUCUUUGCCCGGGGAAUGGCACCUAAUGGGAUGGGAAUGAUGGGUUCCUCAAAUAUGGAUGGGCAUCAUGCAGGAAUGUGGGCUGAUUCUAGCAUGGGAGCAUGGGGAGGAGAAGAGCAAGAUCGGAGAACAAGGGAGUCAAGUUACGGUGGUGAUGAUGGUGCUUCUGAAUAUGGCUAUGGAGAGGUGAAUCAUGAAAAGGGAGGUAGGCCAACUGCUGCUUCUCGGGAAAAGGAUAGAGGUUCUGAUCGUGACUGGUCAGGGAACACUGAUAGGAGGCAGCGAGAUGAGAGGGAACAAGACUGGGAUAGGCCUGAAAGGGAGCAUCGGUAUCGGGAAGAAAAAGAAAAAGAUAAUUCCCGUGACCAUCGGCAAAGAGAACGCGACUCUGGUUACAAGGAUGACUGGGACAGAGGGCAAUCUUCUUCUAGACCACGGAGCAGGUCGCGUGCAAUGCCGGAAGAAAAUCAUAGGUCUCGAUCAAGGGAUGUGGAUUAUGGGAAGAGGAGACGCAUGCCGUCAGAGUGAAACAGCCUUGCUGUUCAUCUUUUCUUUCCUUUUUAUAUAAUGUUGAAAUUUAUACUCGUACUCUUAGUAUGACUCCCUUGGGUUGCUACGCAGCAUUCACCCGUUCUCUCUGGCUAAAUGACCUGCAUCAAGAGUGUGACUUCUUCAAGGAAGAAGAGUGGGGGCUGUCUUUGUUUUCAUGAUUGACUCAGCCUAUUUGCUUCGAGGAAGCUGUGUUAGAUGGGUGCCUUGGAUUCCUUUGAUCAUGGCAUUGCUAAAUCAAGUUUGCAAAAGCAGCAUUGACUGAUUGCCUUCCUUUUAUUCAGGCACCACUUAAGAGUCUGUAAAAUAUGAGUCAACAAGAAUAUGUCUAGGGAGGAUGGAGUUAUGCAGUUGUAAAACAUGGAAAGGGUGACUAGUUUUUGGUAUAAUCACCCUAUUUUUGCUCUUGUAAGUCACGAGGUUGUGUUUUGUAAAGUUUUGAGUGCAAAAGUGUUAGGUUUACAUCAUAUAUUGGCCUUUUUUGUUGUUUAUUGGAUAAGUCAUGGCUCAUCAAUGAGCUUGUAAAAAGUGAUGUACUGAUUCUGAGGCCAAUACUUGUUCAUAUUUGUUUUGUUGUAACAUUUGAGCUCUCUUUGUUAGAACUUAGAGGAGUUGGUGAGGAGAUAGAGCUAGUGGCAUAAUGUAGUGAGGAAUCACUGUUCCCCCUGUAAUUAGUCAUUGUAACCUGUAUAGAUGUAGUAACAGCUUAAGAGGACUGUAUAGGAAUUGUUUCAGAAGUAUUGUUUCGUCUUUUUUGUGUACAUUUUGAGGUUGGUGCAGUUUAAAUAUUAUGAGCUGGGGAUUUCUGAUGUA
Tripterygium wilfordii is the source of this 2969-nucleotide RNA transcript. It is a transcript of the gene named cleavage and polyadenylation specificity factor subunit 6-like, with no coding region annotated. The transcript is spliced from 3 exons. Lineage: Eukaryota; Viridiplantae; Streptophyta; Magnoliopsida; Celastrales; Celastraceae. The record is from RefSeq and is a predicted model, not a curated record.